GAGGCCUGCCGUCCGCUGCGCUGGUAACCGACCGAAAGCCAGGCAGACAUGCAGUAGCGGACAAGCAGCUCGUCGCGCGCGCGCGCCAGGUCUCACCGGGAUGCCAUCACUCAUCACCACAGCGCCCCCGCUGCCUGCCACCGCUCCAUCUGCAUUCGCACCGCUCGCUUUUCUCUUCCUGACUUCCUCUCGCUCCCUGCCGGAUCUAGGCAGUUUCUGUUCUCGCGGAGCACAAAUUGUCCGUAAGGACAUCCUCGCUCGCGCUCUCUCCAUGCUCGUCGUCGUCCUUGUCAUCGUUGUUGUCUCUGUGGUGGACGCCAAGGGCGAGCGGCGAGCUGCCGUGGGUGUGAGUGUGAUGAGGACGGCGGUCAUAGUGGGCCUGCUGGGACUCGUGGCCGCGGCGUCCUCCUCCGGCGCGGAUGUCCUUACGGACAACUUGUCCUCCGCCGACCAAGGUACCGCGCCUUCCUCGAUCUUUGUGUCGCUGAUUUGUUCAUCUGCCUGUCUCAUCUCUUCAGGAAACUGAGCCACAACAAUUUAUCUGGAUUCAUCCCUGAUUCACUAAUCGCUUCUGACAACCUCUUCAUCCUGGAUCAGUCAUCCAACAACCUGAGCGGCACGGUGCAGGAAUUUAGAAUAAAGAAUGUACUGUAAGUGAUUUCUUCGUCACAUUUUUUUCUCUCUCCCGUUGGGCUAACUGUACUGUCCAUUUUUUUUUUGAGAAAACAACGGGGGGGUCUGGGGGCGAUCACGCAGUAGUGCGAGAUC
Lolium perenne is the source of this 768-nucleotide non-coding RNA. The record is from RefSeq and is a predicted model, not a curated record. Lineage: Eukaryota; Viridiplantae; Streptophyta; Magnoliopsida; Poales; Poaceae.